AUGCUGCCGGAUCUGGCCGCUCCGGGACUCAUCAACGCCGCCCCGGUUGUUCACCUCCCCAUCACCGCUUCCCCCAUCACCAUCCCGUCCGCCUCGUCCAAAUCAGCUGAGAGGGUAGUCGCCUGUCUCCAGAGGAGUUCGUCCCCGACGGCCUCUCCAAGGACUCCCUCCCCCACACUCCCAACGCCACUGCCUUCCGAACAUGGUAUCCAGUUCAAGAAGGGUCGACCGCGAGCUGCAUCGACAUCGAGCGUUCCUCUUCUUCGUCGGGCCUGCACCAUCUCGGGUUGCAGCCGUGCAGCACCUGCUGCUGUGGGGGACGGAUGGAGCGGUACUGGUAGAGCUGCUCCACGCCGGCCCUGUCGAGCUCAACCACUAAUUGUUCAACCACGCGCUGCGCCACCACUUCCUCUACACUCGCUACCAGUGGCUUGGUCUCUUGACUCUUGUAGAUGCUCGGUGUCUGGCGAGGCCGCAGGGGGCGAGCCGAAUGAUCCGGAGCAGCGGGCGAAACCGCGGAAGGCGGACCAUUCAGUUAUGCGUACAUUUGUGAAGGUUUGUUGCUCCAACUUGUGA
This 576-nucleotide ribosomal RNA is filed under the name Triticum aestivum (bread wheat). Its description in RNAcentral is "partial small subunit ribosomal RNA". The record is from RNAcentral. Lineage: Eukaryota; Viridiplantae; Streptophyta; Magnoliopsida; Poales; Poaceae.